Molecule: long non-coding RNA, 643 nt
Organism: Acromyrmex echinatior (Panamanian leafcutter ant)
Lineage: Eukaryota; Metazoa; Arthropoda; Insecta; Hymenoptera; Formicidae
Source: RefSeq, a predicted model, not a curated record
AAAAAAGUGAUCGAUCUUCCUUGCCUAGAUGCCGUCACGCGAAUACGAUUACUCCCGCGCUUUUGCUCUGAAUAGAAGUCUGUCAAAGAGAGACCACCUCCAGUCGCAACGCUUCGCUCAUCGUCUACAAUUGCACUUAAUUGUAUACAAAAAUUAUUAGUCAUAUUAUUUGUUCGCUCAUUUGUUUUACAUUAUGACAAUGAUAUGAAAAUAGUCUGAUGCUUUUUGUCUGUUAAUACAAUAAUAAAUAUUUAAAAGUUAAUCAAAGCGGUGUAAUCAACCAGUCAGACGUUGCUGCGAUUCUGCGCUGUAAAGCUGUAUGCAUACAAUUGGGUGGUCAAAUAUGCACCCGGUUGCCACUAGUAUUUACAUUCCGAGAAAUACUUGAUUAUCGAUCCCUCCCAUCCCCCACUCUUCGCCACUUCCGUUCUACCGCUAGUAGAAACUCCAUACUAUGAGCAAUGACUGCGUUAGUUUGGCGCAGAGAAGGUAAUCCCCUUUAUGGAGCAGGCAAGAUUAUCACGAUAUAGUAGCGGCGUAACUUUGGCAUGAGAAGUGGGAGGAAAAGAGAGGUGGAAGAGGAGAUUGUGACUGGGGGAAAGGAGUGAGAGGGAAAUAAAGGAUGAAGGAAAAAGAGAUGGAA